Molecule: ribosomal RNA, 163 nt
Filed under: Aster taliangshanensis
Lineage: Eukaryota; Viridiplantae; Streptophyta; Magnoliopsida; Asterales; Asteraceae
Description: 5.8S ribosomal RNA
Rfam family: 5.8S ribosomal RNA
About the family: 5.8S ribosomal RNA (5.8S rRNA) is a component of the large subunit of the eukaryotic ribosome. It is transcribed by RNA polymerase I as part of the 45S precursor that also contains 18S and 28S rRNA.
Source: RNAcentral
CAAACGACUCUCGGCAACGGAUAUCUCGGCUCACGCAUCGAUGAAGAACGUAGCAAAAUGCGAUACUUGGUGUGAAUUGCAGAAUCCCGUGAACCAUCGAGUUUUUGAACGCAAGUUGCGCCCAAAGCCAUUCGGCUGAGGGCACGUCUGCCUGGGCGUCACG